UUCGGAGAGGUAAUAAAUAGAGGACGACAGCUGCAACAUAAAGGACUGUUCAAUGAAGGAGACAUCGACUUGACUACGGCUCCUGUAACGUCAAGAGACGUGUCGCGCAGCGUACAAUUAGACAUGCAUCGAAGGUGUAUGUACUGCACAAUCACAGUAAUCACAGUAUUUGUGAGACAUCGUAAACAUCCCAAGGCAUGUGAAGCACAUUUGGACGCGAAAAAUGAAAGCAAUGGAGG
Molecule: long non-coding RNA, 239 nt
Filed under: Musa acuminata (dwarf banana)
Lineage: Eukaryota; Viridiplantae; Streptophyta; Magnoliopsida; Zingiberales; Musaceae
Description: long non-coding RNA (MACU_LNC002817)
Source: RNAcentral